UUGUUUUUUAUGUUUUCAGAGAGAAGUUUCAGCAGUAUGUUUGGAUCUACAGAAAUCACACUGUGUAACUCAAGUUAGACUGGCUGAACAGGGAUCUGAUUAUUAGUGCUACCACAAGUGUAUUUUGAAGACUAGCAUGUUGUAUCAAAUUUAUAUGGAUUGUAAAUAACUUUUCUGAGGACUGCCAGUAAAUGCACUGUGGGAAUGAAUUAGCUGUUUUCCUGGUUGCUGUGAAGAAUCCACUUGGAUGUGCAUUUGCAAAAUGAGGACUACCGUGUAACUUAGCAUUCAGGUUUCCCCCAGGAGUCGAGGUGUGUUGUGUGUCCCUGCAGCAAUGCUGCAUUCCUUUUCGUUUCUGAUGUUAUUUUGACGAUGGAAUCCUUCUUCGAGACAAAUGGUGCCAAUGCUGAAGAGUAGAUGUGAAGUUGUGAGCAUCAGCUCCUGACGAUACUUGGAAAAGGGCUGGAACUCUUGGGAGACAGACAUAGGACACAUUGCAAAUAAGAGCUAGGAAGAAAAAACACCCUCACAGAAAUAUGACCAGUACUGAAUUCAGCUGAGAUUCCAUAACCCUGCAUCUUUGCUGAACUUUGAUCCAGUAGCAGAAUAUUGGCAAACUCUUUGGAAAAGAUUAAUCUGAUGAGCAGAAUAUAUUACUGUGACUGCAUGCGCCAAGACCCGUGGGACCCAAUUAGUGUGCCUCUAUCGGGAGCUCCUUUCAAAUGAAAAUUGGUGGGCAAAACGUCUAAUCUCGUUCUAGGAAACUCCAGCACUGAUAGAACGCUGGGAACGAUCGAUCCCGCAGGAAGAAAUGUUUCAAAAUGUCCUGCGCAGUAGACAGAGUCAGAAACAGCUCUGGGAUCAACUUCUCAAAAAUGCAGUACGUUUGUUUUAAACGGCAGGCACCAAAAAAAGGGUGUAUUAAAUGCCACAGACGGGUCUAGCUGUAUUGUAAAGCAUUGAAACUUUUUGAGCUAGCGGAACAUUAACCCUGUUUUUUUCUGCAAGGAGAAAGACA
Acipenser ruthenus (sterlet) is the source of this 1018-nucleotide long non-coding RNA. RefSeq lists it as uncharacterized. NCBI's taxonomy places the organism in Eukaryota, Metazoa, Chordata, Actinopteri, Acipenseriformes, Acipenseridae. The record is from RefSeq and is a predicted model, not a curated record. The transcript has 3 exons.